UCCACAGCCAUACUACCUUGGACAUGCUGAUUUCAGAAGCUAAGCCAUGUCAGGCCUGCUUAGAACUUGGAUGGGAGAAAGUACAGAAGUAAGAGCGCUGAGGGGGACUGCAAGGGGCUGGAGGGA
This 126-nucleotide ribosomal RNA is filed under the name Cebus imitator (Panamanian white-faced capuchin). Lineage: Eukaryota; Metazoa; Chordata; Mammalia; Primates; Cebidae. The record is from RNAcentral.